RNAcentral lists this ribosomal RNA (377 nucleotides) under uncultured bacterium. RNAcentral's name for it is "bacterial SSU rRNA". It matches the Rfam family "Bacterial small subunit ribosomal RNA", at positions 790 to 1167 of the family's 1533-position model. The record is from RNAcentral.
GUAGUCCACGCCGUAAACGAUGAGUGCUAGGUGUUAGGGGUUUCGAUGCCCGUAGUGCCGAAGUUAACACAUUAAGCACUCCGCCUGGGGAGUACGGCCGCAAGGCUGAAACUCAAAGGAAUUGACGGGGGCCCGCACAAGCAGUGGAGCAUGUGGUUUAAUUCGAAGCAACGCGAAGAACCUUACCAGGUCUUGACAUCCUUUGACCACUCUGGAGACAGAGCUUCCCCUUCGGGGGCAAAGUGACAGGUGGUGCAUGGUUGUCGUCAGCUCGUGUCGUGAGAUGUUGGGUUAAGUCCCGCAACGAGCGCAACCCUUGACCUUAGUUGCCAGCAUUCAGUUGGGCACUCUAAGGUGACUGCCGGUGACAAACCGGA